Oncorhynchus tshawytscha (Chinook salmon) is the source of this 1094-nucleotide long non-coding RNA. Lineage: Eukaryota; Metazoa; Chordata; Actinopteri; Salmoniformes; Salmonidae. The record is from Ensembl.
CCACCACAGACAUGACUAGAACACAAGGUAACAACAGCAUCACCACCACAGACAUGACUAGAACACAAGGUAACAACAGCAUCACCAUCACAGACAUGACUAGAACACAAGGUAACAACAGCAUCACCACCACAGACAUGACUAGAACACAAGGUAACAACAAGAUCACCACCACAGACAUGACUAGAACACAAGGUAACAACAGCAUCACCAUCACAGACAUGACUAGAACACAAGGUAACAACAGCAUCACCACCACAGACAUGACUAGAACACAAGGUAACAACAAGAUCACCACCACAGACAUGACUAGAACCCAAGGUACCAACAGCAUCACCACCACAGACAUGACUAGAACACAAGGUAACAACAGCAUCACCACCACAGACAUGACUAGAACACAAGGUAACAACAGCAUCACCACCACAGACAUGACUAGAACACAAGGUAACAACAAGAUCACCACCACAGACAUGACUAGAACACAAGGUAACAACAGCAUCACCACCACAGACAUGACUAGAACACAAGGUAACAACAGCAUCACCACCACAGACAUGACUAGAACACAAGGUAACAACAGCAUCACCACCACAGACAUGACUAGAACACAAGGUAACGACAUCAUCACCACAGACAGGGCUAGAACACAAGGUAACGACAUCAUCACCACAGACAGGGCUAGAACACAAGGUAACAACAUCACCACUACCACAGACAUGACUGGAACAAAAGGUAACAACAGCAUCACCACCACAGACAUGACUAGAACACAAGUUAACAACAACAUCACCACCACAGACAUGACUGGAACACAAGGUAACAACAUCACCACUACCACAGACAUGACUGGAACACAAGGUAACACUACACUAAUACACCACUACACUACUACACCACUCCACGUGCACACACAUGAUUUAUAUGUUGUGUUCGAGUUACCAAUCCAGACACAACAACCCAAGACUCCACCAACCAAACCCUCAACACAACAACCCAGGACUCCACCAACCAAGCCCUCAACACAACAACCCAAGACUCCACCUACCAAGCCCUCAACACAACAACCCAAGACUCCACCUCCCAAGCCCUCA